This is a long non-coding RNA of Oncorhynchus masou masou (cherry salmon), 690 nucleotides long. RefSeq lists it as uncharacterized. The record is from RefSeq and is a predicted model, not a curated record. NCBI's taxonomy places the organism in Eukaryota, Metazoa, Chordata, Actinopteri, Salmoniformes, Salmonidae. The transcript is spliced from 4 exons.
AAAAUGCUUUGAGUUGAAGCGCAACAUCCGCCCGUUGCCAUCAUGAAGACAGGCUGCGGGGUCGACGUCUGACAACACGCUCUCUAACGUACGCCGGGCCCUCAUUGGAUGGGAUAACCACCUGUGGCGUCAGGUGACCUCGAUUGAUCGCAGGGGGCGGAGCCUGGUGUCAACUCCGUGGAGAACACAGAGGGGACUACAACGUCUCCCUAAAGAACUACAACCCCCACAGAGAGUAUCACAGAGAAGGUGACCACAACCCCCUGAUCUCAACCCUCCUCUACUUCAGGACUACAACGUCUCCCUAAAGAACUACAACCCCCACAGAGAGUAUCACAGAGAAGGUGACCACAACCCCUGAUCCUAACCCUCCUCUGCUUCAGGACUACAACGUCUCCCUAAAGAACUACAACCCCCACAGAGAGUAUCACAGAGAAGGUGACCACCAUCACUAUGGACGUCACAACCCCAUGAUCUCAACCCUCCUCUGCUUCAGGACUACAACGUCUCCCUAAAGAACUACAACCCCCACAGAGAGUAUCACAGAGAAGGUGACCACCAUCACUAUGGACGUCACAACCCCAUGAUCUCAACCCUCCUCUGCUUCAGGACUACAACGUCUCCCUAAAGAACUACAACCCCCACAGAGAGUAUCACAGAGAAGGUGACCACCAUCACUAUGGACGUCAC